Molecule: non-coding RNA, 1839 nt
Organism: Myodes glareolus (Bank vole)
Lineage: Eukaryota; Metazoa; Chordata; Mammalia; Rodentia; Cricetidae
Source: RefSeq, a predicted model, not a curated record
AAAUACACAACUCUUGAUGGGGCAUGAACUUUAUUCCAAGUCACUGAAGGUUUUCAGGAAGCCAUCACUGCAAUUCCUCUUGCUCCCCUGGGAAACUGAGGCUCGCUCUGUGCUCGCUGCCUCCUCAAGUUGGAGUGCAUUUCUGGCGGAAGUGAUUACGUUAGUCUUUCGCCGAAAUGGCAUCUGGGAGAAAUAGGCACUACAUGGUUCUGUUCCUGCUGCUGACUGGGCCCCAAAGGCCUCUGGGUAAAGAAGUGGGCAGGCAUUGCACAAGGCAGCAACAGUCAGUCUCUGGGUAAAGCCGUUGGUGGACCGUACAUUCGAGCGCAAAGACUUCUGGAUGAAGCCGUUGAGAAGCUGCUGCUUUGGCACAAAGGUCUCUGGAUGAAGCAGUUGGUGGGCAGUGCUCCUGCUUGGCGUGGAGGACUUUCGUGAAAUUCAAGGUCGUGGGCACUGCGACGUUGUUAUUUUAGCCUUGGUUUUUGGGAGAUUCUGGAAACUUCCGGACAAGGGACAGUGGCUCUUAAUGGCUCUAACCCAUGGACAUAUCUCAUAGACGGCCUCUGCUCUUGGCCACUGCAAAGUGUGUGCACAGCGGUGUCUGCUACGCUCUGCUCUCUGCCGCCACCGUGCCCUGCGCUCAGUUCACAUGGCCAAGAUUCUCCUAAUCUGGUUGCCCCACCUAUACUUCGUGCCUGUCUAUUGGACAAUCAGCAUUUUAUUAAACUAAUGUGAGUGACAAAUCUCUGCAGUGGACAAGAACAUUGUCCCACAGCAAAUAAAACAUGUAUCAGUCACUAGCAAUAAACUGGAGAAUGUUCCAGAAUUGCCAUAUGAAAAAGGACUAAUUCACAGUCAUCAUCUAACCCAAAGGAAGACACUGAACAAAAUCAUUUGAGAAGAAGAUUGGAGCAAUUGUCCUAACAUCUGGACCACUGGAGAACUCACUGAAUGAUGUGCUUUGUCCAUGAUCUCUAGGAAGACACAGGAACAAGCAACAAAAAUGAAAUGACUGGAAGAUGACAGAUGUCAAGCUCCUGAAUCUGGUUUCUAUGGUGGAAGAAACUGUUAAUUCAGCGGUGAAAACGGAGAUAAAUCACGAUGCUUUGCUUCUUCAUCUGUUUGAGCUCAGCUGCGGGAGCCUUUAUCACUUGCAGCCCUGGGAGCAGCAGAUACCUAAGCACCUGCCCACAGACCAGAACUGGAGGCGUCUACUGCUGCAGUCCUCAUAGCUCUGCUCCUCAGCUCCGUGGUACUGCGGAGAGUUGCUGUCUCUGCUGUCUGUGUCCUCAGGAGACAGAAGAUCUGACUGUAGGUUUGAGGGAGGGUAGUCUAAGGAUUGUUAUAAAAGGGGCCAGGCCAGCCGGAGGGUCAGGUAAGACCACACACCAUCAGGUUUAAGGAGUCUGCAGGAGUUAUCACAUAUCGUUCUGCAUACUCAGGAGUCUCAUGAAACCUUGGGUAGUUCCCAGCUCCCAGGAAGUGUGUGAUUUGCAAGGUCAAGGACUUGACAACAAUGCUGACAGCAUCCUAGAUGACCUGGAGGAGGUGGACCACGGGGUGAUGGAAGGAGCACCGACUUCCAUGGUCUCCAUGGAGACCAUCUCUAGAUUAGUGGAUGGCUAGGAGUCUGUGGGCCAAGUGGAAUCUACAUUUUUAGAAGUUAUAGGUGAUCUUUUCUCAGGGCUGUUUCUAUUGCUUAUGAUCAAGAAGUGACAAGGAAAGAUGGUCAUGACUUGGGAAGGAGACAGAGUGACAGUUCUCUGGCAUGGGGUUCUCAUCUACUGAGGGCAUGCAUAUCAAUUCAGGGGUAAUUCACAAAUGGCAAGAAAAUUAUUA